GGAGAGAUGGCGGAGUGGUCUAACGCGCACGCUUGGAAAGCGUGUGUACAAGCAAUUGUACCGGGAGUUCGAAUCUCCCUCUCUCCGCCA
This 90-nucleotide transfer RNA is filed under the name Candidatus Altimarinota bacterium. Its description in RNAcentral is "tRNA-Ser". It matches the Rfam family "tRNA". Rfam says of the family: Transfer RNA (tRNA) molecules are approximately 80 nucleotides in length. The record is from RNAcentral. Lineage: Bacteria; Candidatus Altimarinota.